This 449-nucleotide ribosomal RNA is filed under the name uncultured bacterium. Its description in RNAcentral is "partial 16S ribosomal RNA". It matches the Rfam family "Bacterial small subunit ribosomal RNA", at positions 29 to 523 of the family's 1533-position model. The record is from RNAcentral.
AGCGAACGCUGGCGGCAGGCCUAACACAUGCAAGUCGAACGAAGUCUUCGGACUUAGUGGCGGACGGGUGAGUAACACGUGGGAACGUACCUUUUGGUUCGGAACAACUCAGGGAAACUUGAGCUAAUACCGGAUGAGCCCUUAGGGGGAAAGAUUUAUCGCCGAAAGAGCGGCCCGCGUUAGAUUAGCUAGUUGGUGAGGUAAAGGCUCACCAAGGCUACGAUCUAUAGCUGGUCUGAGAGGAUGAUCAGCCACACUGGGACUGAGACACGGCCCAGCCUCCCACGGGAGGCAGCAGGGGGGAAUCUUGCGCAAUGGGCGAAAGCCUGACGCAGCCAUGCCGCGUGAAUGAUGAAGGUCUUAGGAUUGAAAAAUUCUUUUACCAGGGACGAUAAUGACGGUACCUGGAGAAAAAGCCCCGGCUAACUUCGUCCCAGCAGCCGCCGUAA